Molecule: long non-coding RNA, 701 nt
Organism: Ailuropoda melanoleuca (giant panda)
Lineage: Eukaryota; Metazoa; Chordata; Mammalia; Carnivora; Ursidae
Exons: 3
Source: RefSeq, a predicted model, not a curated record
AGGUGGGACGGAGACAGCGACCAGUCCAGACUGGAGCAGUGUGACUCCGAGAAACUGCCGUGUCAUCACAAAGACCCCUGCUGCCAUGGUACUCCCUUCUUAUUCUGGGACGGGAUGCCCUGGUAAGGUACCCAGAUUCUACUCUGCACUCGGCUUGUCUUCACCACGGGCUGAUGAGUUCCUGCUCUCCCUGUGGAUGGUGAGUCCCUGGCUAUGCCCUGCUGACCUCAGUCAGCGGAGGGCACCCAUUUCACCCUUCAGAAGGGUGUGGCCUGGCCCUAUUCCUGGGAGCUGGAAGAGCCUUGGACAAGCUUACAACUGAACACUUCCUCUGACUGUAUUCCUGGACAUCCGGCCCCUGACUCAUACCUGCCCUACCAGAUCUUCCAGCUGGAGUGAAUGCUCUAUUUCUCACUCAAGGACCUUGCUCACUGACUUCCCAGCAGGAGCCCUUCAAGCCUCCAGAAGGUAGAGGUGCGGAGCCAGCACUCUGGCACUCAGAAGACAGGUGUACCCUGGAGAUGCACUUGGCAGUGGUGGCCAGAUGGAGAGCAAAGCCAAGGGAAUGGGUGAGCUUGCCUGGGAAGAGAAGGUGGAGUGGAAAGAGGAGACGUCUGGGGACAACAGAGGAGAAAGCAGACAGAUGCCACACCCAGCAUGGAGCCCAAUGCAGGGCUUGAACUCACAACCCUGAAAUCAAG